UACAGAGGUCUCAAGCGUUGUUCGGAUUCAUUGGGCGUAAAGGGCGCGUAGGCGGCGCGGCAAGUCGGGUGUGAAAUCUUGGAGCUUAACUGCGAAACUGCAUUCGAUACUGCCGUGCUUGAGGACUGGAGAGGAGACUGGAAUUUACGGUGUAGCGGUGAAAUGCGUAGAUAUCGUAAGGAAGACCAGUGGCGAAGGCGGGUCUCUGGACAGUUCCUGACGCUGAAGCACGAAGGCCAGGGGAGCAAACGGG
Molecule: ribosomal RNA, 253 nt
Filed under: uncultured bacterium
Lineage: Bacteria
Description: partial 16S ribosomal RNA
Rfam family: Bacterial small subunit ribosomal RNA
Source: RNAcentral